GGUACUGUAGCUUAGGGUUAAAGCACCUGUCUCGUAAACAAGAGAUCCGCAGUUCAAAUCUGGGCAAUGCCU
This 72-nucleotide transfer RNA is filed under the name Clytia hemisphaerica. RNAcentral describes it as "tRNA-Thr for anticodon CGU". It matches the Rfam family "tRNA". Rfam says of the family: Transfer RNA (tRNA) molecules are approximately 80 nucleotides in length. Their secondary structure includes four short double-helical elements and three loops (D, anti-codon, and T loops). The record is from Rfam by way of RNAcentral. Lineage: Eukaryota; Metazoa; Cnidaria; Hydrozoa; Leptothecata; Clytiidae.